GGACGGUUAGCUCAGUGGUAGAGCACCUGACUUUUAAUCAGGGUGUCCUGGGUUCGACCCCCAGACCGUUCA
Molecule: transfer RNA, 72 nt
Filed under: Roseivivax halodurans JCM 10272
Lineage: Bacteria; Pseudomonadati; Pseudomonadota; Alphaproteobacteria; Rhodobacterales; Roseobacteraceae
Rfam family: tRNA
About the family: Transfer RNA (tRNA) molecules are approximately 80 nucleotides in length. Their secondary structure includes four short double-helical elements and three loops (D, anti-codon, and T loops).
Source: Rfam by way of RNAcentral